This 474-nucleotide ribosomal RNA is filed under the name uncultured organism. Its description in RNAcentral is "partial 16S ribosomal RNA". It matches the Rfam family "Bacterial small subunit ribosomal RNA", at positions 332 to 797 of the family's 1533-position model. The record is from RNAcentral.
UACACUCCUACGGGAGGCAGCAGUGGGGAAUUUUGGACAAUGGGCGAAAGCCUGAUCCAGCAAUGCCGCGUGAGUGAAGAAGGCCUUCGGGUUGUAAAGCUCUUUUGUCAGGGAAGAAACGGUGAGAGCUAAUAUCUCUUGCUAAUGACGGUACCUGAAGAAUAAGCACCGGCUAACUACGUGCCAGCAGCCGCGGUAAUACGUAGGGUGCAAGCGUUAAUCGGAAUUACUGGGCGUAAAGCGUGCGCAGGCGGUUUUGUAAGUCUGAUGUGAAAUCCCCGGGCUCAACCUGGGAAUUGCAUUGGAGACUGCAAGGCUAGAAUCUGGCAGAGGGGGGUAGAAUUCCACGUGUAGCAGUGAAAUGCGUAGAUAUGUGGAGGAACACCGAUGGCGAAGGCAGCCCCCUGGGUCAAGAUUGACGCUCAUGCACGAAAGCGUGGGGAGCAAACAGGAUUAGAAACCCUUGUAGUCCCA